GACGAACGCUGGCGGCGUGCUUAACACAUGCAAGUCGAACGGAAAGGCCCUGCUUGCAGGGUACUCGAGUGGCGAACGGGUGAGUAACACGUGGGUGAUCUGCCCUGCACUUCGGGAUAAGCCUGGGAAACUGGGUCUAAUACCGGAUAGGAGCCAUUUUUAGUGUGAUGGUUGGAAAGUUUUUUUCGGUGUAGGAUGAGCUCGCGGCCUAUCAGCUUGUUGGUGGGGUAAUGGCCUACCAAGGCGGCGACGGGUAGCCGGCCUGAGAGGGUGGACGGCCACAUUGGGACUGAGAUACGGCCCAGACUCCUACGGGAGGCAGCAGUGGGGAAUAUUGCACAAUGGGCGCAAGCCUGAUGCAGCGACGCCGCGUGGGGGAUGACGGGCUUCGGGUUGUAAACUCCUUUCGCUAGGGACGAAGCUUUUUGUGACGGUACCUAGAGAAGAAGCACCGGCUAACUACGUG
Molecule: ribosomal RNA, 466 nt
Filed under: uncultured bacterium
Lineage: Bacteria
Description: partial 16S ribosomal RNA
Rfam family: Bacterial small subunit ribosomal RNA
Source: RNAcentral